UACGUAGGGGGGCAAGCGUUGUCCGGAUUUAUUGGGCGUAAAGAGCGUGUAGGCGGUUUGGUAGGUCCGCUGUGAAAAACUCGAGGCUCAACCUCGAGACGCCGGUGGAAACCAUCAGACUAGAGUCCGGAAGAGGAGAGUGGAAUUCCUGGUCGUAGCGGUGAAAUGCGCAGAUAUCAGGAAGAACACCCGUGGCUAAGGCGGCUCUCUAGUACGGUACUGACGCUGAGACGCGAAAGCGUGGGGAGCGAACAGG
This 256-nucleotide ribosomal RNA is filed under the name uncultured bacterium. RNAcentral's name for it is "partial 16S ribosomal RNA". It matches the Rfam family "Bacterial small subunit ribosomal RNA", at positions 524 to 776 of the family's 1533-position model. The record is from RNAcentral.